RNAcentral lists this ribosomal RNA (329 nucleotides) under uncultured bacterium. Its description in RNAcentral is "bacterial SSU rRNA". It matches the Rfam family "Bacterial small subunit ribosomal RNA", at positions 568 to 898 of the family's 1533-position model. The record is from RNAcentral.
UGUGUAGGCGGUUGUUUAAGUUUGGUGUGAAAUCUCCCGGCUCAACUGGGAGGGUGCGCCGAAUACUGAAUGACUAGAGUGCGGGAGAGGAGAGUGGAAUUCCUGGUGUAGCGGUGAAAUGCGUAGAUAUCAGGAGGAACACCGGCGGUGUAGGCGGCCCUCUGGACCGUAACUGACGCUGAGACACGAAAGCGUGGGGAGCAAACAGGAUUAGAUACCCUGGUAGUCCACGCCCUAAACGAUGCGCAUUUGGUGUGGGUCAUUCAGUUGAUCCGUGCCGGAGCUAACGCGUUAAUGCGCCGCCUGGGGAGUACAGUCGCAAGGCUGAA